GGCGAACGGGUGAGUAACACGUGGGUGAUCUGCCCUGCACUUCGGGAUAAGCCUGGGAAACUGGGGCUAAUACCGGAUAGGAGCCAUUUUUAGUGUGAUGGUUGGAAAGUUUUUCGGUGCAGGAUGAGCUCGCGGCCUAUCAGCUUGUUGGUGGGGUAAUGGCCUACCAAGGCGGCGACGGGUAGCCGGCCUGAGAGGGUGGACGGCCACAUUGGGACUGAGAUACGGCCCAG
This 233-nucleotide ribosomal RNA is filed under the name uncultured Actinomycetales bacterium. RNAcentral's name for it is "partial 16S ribosomal RNA". It matches the Rfam family "Bacterial small subunit ribosomal RNA", at positions 97 to 334 of the family's 1533-position model. The record is from RNAcentral. Lineage: Bacteria; Bacillati; Actinomycetota; Actinomycetes; Actinomycetales.